UGCAGUCGAGCGGACAGAUGGGAGCUUGCUCCCUGAUGUUAGCGGCGGACGGGUGAGUAACACGUGGGUAACCUGCCUGUAAGACUGGGAUAACUCCGGGAAACCGGGGCUAAUACCGGAUGGUUGUUUGAACCGCAUGGUUCAAACAUAAAAGGUGGCUUCGGCUACCACUUACAGAUGGACCCGCGGCGCAUUAGCUAGUUGGUGAGGUAACGGCUCACCAAGGCAACGAUGCGUAGCCGACCUGAGAGGGUGAUCGGCCACACUGGGACUGAGACACGGCCCAGACUCCUACGGGAGGCAGCAGUAGGGAAUCUUCCGCAAUGGACGAAAGUCUGACGGAGCAACGCCGCGUGAGUGAUGAAGGUUUUCGGAUCGUAAAGCUCUGUUGUUAGGGAAGAACAAGUACCGUUCGAAUAGGGCGGUACCUUGACGGUACCUAACCAGAAAGCCACGGCUAACUACGUGCC
Molecule: ribosomal RNA, 470 nt
Filed under: Bacillus tequilensis
Lineage: Bacteria; Bacillati; Bacillota; Bacilli; Caryophanales; Bacillaceae
Description: bacterial SSU rRNA
Rfam family: Bacterial small subunit ribosomal RNA
Source: RNAcentral